GACCUCCUGGGCUGGGCAGGGGGGUCCUGAGAUGGCAAAGGGGAGGGCUUUGGAAGGAGCCCACCAGGCACUUCUCGGCCCACCUGCAGGCCCACUCCACAGCUCUGUGUCCUCCCUCGCUGGCAGGCCUGGCACCUGACCUCAGUCUCCAUCCUGCUGGCUCCCUCUGCCUAGAACCUCUUCCCAGACACAGCUGCUCCUCCAUCCUGCCCUCCUCUUUCCUGCUCUCCACCAGUGCUGUCCUCUUCCCGUAGUAACUUGCCAGGGUCCCAUGCACCCUCUGUCUCUGGCUGCUGUGGGCCUGUCUUGCUCAGCAGCAUGUGUGGUCUCUGCCUCCUGCCCACCCUCAGUGCUCCUCCCCAUCACCUCCGCCUCUCCUCCUUUUCCCACUCUCACUGCCAUCACUGUGUUCUCACUGGAAGCCCCUCCCUGCCUUCCCAGCUCUCCUUCCUCCAGCCCCUUGCCACACAAGGAUCAGCCUCAGCCCUGCCCAGAGCACCUGGCAGUCACAGACUUGCUUCUGUUCUCCCAGCCUAGCCAGGCACUGCUCACAGACACAGGAAGAGGGAGUGAGAGAGCAAGAACCACCAGGGGUUGGCCUCCCUGCCUCCUCCUCCUGAGUCCAUCCAGUACAAGCAGCUUCUCCAGAAUUAUCCACCUCCAGUGAGCAUGGGGGACCUCUGCUGGGCCAGCCCACAGGUGGCCUCCUCCAGAGGGCCUCAAACCACCACACUCACCCUGAAGAGGCCAGGGCAGGCUGCAGGACACCCUGCAAGGACAGCCAGGCCCUGUCCUCUAGUAGAUUCCCCACUCUCUUACUGCCAUACAGGAAACCCCCUCAGCACACUGAGGAGAAAUAUGAGAACACUGGGAAUCAAGGACAACAUAAAGAACCUGGGCUCACCCUCAGGGAUGACGGCAUCGUCUACGCUUCCCUUUCCCUCUCCAAUCCAUCCUCCACGAAGGCUCCUCUCUGCC
Ochotona princeps (American pika) is the source of this 978-nucleotide RNA transcript. RefSeq lists it as uncharacterized. The record is from RefSeq and is a predicted model, not a curated record. The transcript has 3 exons. NCBI's taxonomy places the organism in Eukaryota, Metazoa, Chordata, Mammalia, Lagomorpha, Ochotonidae.